CGGGGUAUAGCUCAGUGGUAGAGUGCAUGCCUAGCAUGCACAAGGUCCUGGGUUCAAUCCCCAGUGCCUCCA
RNAcentral lists this transfer RNA (72 nucleotides) under Camelus bactrianus (Bactrian camel). It matches the Rfam family "tRNA". Rfam says of the family: Transfer RNA (tRNA) molecules are approximately 80 nucleotides in length. RNAcentral also lists the same sequence under 2 other names. Lineage: Eukaryota; Metazoa; Chordata; Mammalia; Artiodactyla; Camelidae. The record is from Rfam by way of RNAcentral.